GAGCUGCACACAGGAUAUGGGACCUACAUUUGGAUCUUGUCCUCCAGACUGAAGACCAGAGGGCAACCAGUGCAAAUGUCCAGACUGAUGGUCAGAGGGAGCCCUGGACCAAACAUGCUGCAAACUCCCCCUCCUGGGGGUCUGAUUUUGAUUUUGUUUUCCCACCAGUCCCUGAAGUAGCUUAGCAGCCUUGCAGCUGCACUGUGGGUAAUAUGUGAGUCCAGACAAGCCGUGAACUCAUUCCCAGAUUCUCCUCUCAUUUCACGUAUAAAAGCUGGUGGUUAAACUAGAUUAUUGUUGUUUAAGAUGUGUCCAUCUCUCUGUCUUUACAGACCGCAUGGACUGUAGCCCACCAGGCUCCUCUGUCCAUGAGAAUAUUCAAGUAGGUUGCCAUUUCAAGAACUCUCCCCUAUAGAAUCCUCUCCCAGGGAUCUUCCUGGCCCAGGGAUCGAACUAGAUUACCUACUCCUUAUAUUCUGUGAUCCUCCAGCCUGUUACUUAUGUAAGUCAAGGUCAGUACUUCCUUCUGGUUUACAUCCCGUCUACCCUGCCCAGAAGGGCUGUCCCCACAGAGGUCACCCGCCAUCCCCAAAAGAGGACAUUUGUGUCCCUGUCUCGCUCACUCUCCUUUCUUCUCUGUCUUAUAUUUUUCUCUUUCUAUCUCUGCAUCUCUUUCUCUUUAUCACUCUCUGGAUCUUUAUUUUUCCUGUCUCUCUGUCUCUUCCCCUUUUUUGUUCUCUCUCUGCGUAUCUUUCUCUUUCCCUGUUUUCCCUCUCUGUAUCUCCAUGUUUCUCCUCUCUCUCUCUGUAUCUCCUCCCGUGUUCCUCUCUCUUCUUCCCGAUAUCUCUGUAUUUGUCUCCUGUGUUCUCUCUCUUCACUACCAGUUCCUAACCAUUAGCUACACUCAAGAUUCAUUAAACACCACAGGCAGUGGCGGGAGUGGUGGGGAGAGGAGAAACAAUAGCCUUCUGCAAAGUGGGACCCGUGAGGGACCACAUGUUUCCUUUGAAAGCUCUAUUUUAGCUCAACAGCAAUGAAAAGCAGAAAGACGAGUUCGGUACCCAUGACCACUUGACUCCCGAGCAUAUAAGGCUGCAGAAAACACCUCCAUCUAUUGUUGAUGGCUCGUGUCUGUCACCAAAGCUCAGAGUCUCUUCUCAGCAAGGCAACUUGCAGAAUCUUUUAUUUGCAGAGGGAAGUUAGGUGCCCUGCGGGGGCUCCUUAACCUUCGUGAACACAAAUGGAACAUUCCGAAUGUGCCUUUUCAAUUGCCCCAGCUCAACCUGCAGAAACAUGGCAGGUGUGUGGGAGGCAAGAAGCUGAACAGGCUGAGCCUUUCAGGCAGCAAUUCUUUCAGCAAGAAAGAAUAGCAGUCCUGGGCUGUAGGGGGAGAAUUCUUGAAACUUUUCCACUCUCUCUUGGGUAGAAAGGAACUGAUGAGAGAACUUCAGAGUUGCACGGAAGCAGUCCUUCAUGGAGGAUGAGGGUGAGGGAGAGUGGAAGAGGUUAAAAUAGCCCAUGAGAGAACACUGAAAUGCAAGCAAAAUAUUUUUCUAAUUUCUUUCCUUCCUAGGAAAAGCUCAGGUUUUACAACACACGAAAUCUGCUGGCCAUUUGUUCUAGAUGAGAAGAAGUGAAAAGCUUUGAAGUCUGCAGUCACGAACCCCACCCUCAGCUUGAAUUACUCAGGCAUAGCAAGAAUACGCCAGUGUUCUUGCCUGGAGAAUCCCAGGGACGGGGAGCCUGGUGAGCUGCNNNNNNNNNNNNNNNNNNNNNNNNNNNNNNNNNNNNNNNNNNNNNNNNNNNNNNNNNNNNNNNNNNNNNNNNNNNNNNNNNNNNNNNNNNNNNNNNNNNUUGCCUGGAGAAUCCCAGGGACGGGGGAGCCUGGUGGGCUUCCGUCUACGAGGUUGCACAGAGUUGGACCCGACUGAAGUGACUUAGCAGUAGCAGUAGCAUUGGGUCCUUAUCCCUAUCUAUUGAAAUUGCCUUUUACCUGAGGGCCUCUCCUUUGCUCCAAGAGGGCAGGGCUAUGUCUGCCUAUUCACACUGCAUCCCCAGAGCUUGGCCUGGGGUCAGGUACCUGGUUGGUGUUCGGUGAAAUCUGGGUAAUGAAUGAGGGUUCCCUUCUAUGUUUCAUUGUACUGGCCUCAGUUUGCUGGCACAUAGUAGGCUCUCAAUGCAAAUCUGUUGAAUAGAUAAUGGAUGACUGCAUGAAUAAACAAACAACAUGGUUCAACAUCCCCUGCCUCACAUCUCUCUCUCCCUCUCUCUCUCACACACACACACACACACACACACACACACACACACAC
Molecule: long non-coding RNA, 2312 nt
Filed under: Capra hircus (goat)
Lineage: Eukaryota; Metazoa; Chordata; Mammalia; Artiodactyla; Bovidae
Description: lncRNA (ENSCHIG00010026886.1)
Source: RNAcentral